RNAcentral lists this ribosomal RNA (253 nucleotides) under uncultured bacterium. RNAcentral describes it as "partial 16S ribosomal RNA". It matches the Rfam family "Bacterial small subunit ribosomal RNA", at positions 524 to 776 of the family's 1533-position model. The record is from RNAcentral.
GACAGAGGGUGCAAACGUUGUUCGGAAUUACUGGGCGUAAAGCGCGUGUAGGCUGCUUCGCAAGUCGGAUGUGAAAGCCCUGGGCUCAACCCAGGAAGUGCAUUCGAAACUGCAGAGCUGGAGUCCUGGAGAGGAAGGCGGAAUUCUCGGUGUAGAGGUGAAAUUCGUAGAUAUUGGGAAGAACACCGAUGGCGAAGGCAGCCAUCUGGACCGACACUGACGCUGAGGCGCUAAAGCGUGGGGAGCGAACAGG